RNAcentral lists this ribosomal RNA (484 nucleotides) under uncultured bacterium. Its description in RNAcentral is "partial 16S ribosomal RNA". It matches the Rfam family "Bacterial small subunit ribosomal RNA", at positions 30 to 507 of the family's 1533-position model. The record is from RNAcentral.
AUUGAACGCUGGCGGAAUGCUUUACACAUGCAAGUCGAACGGCAGCACGGGGGCAACCCUGGUGGCGAGUGGCGAACGGGUGAGUAAUACAUCGGAACGUGCCCGGUCGUGGGGGAUAACGUGGCGAAAGUUACGCUAAUACCGCAUACGAUCUGAGGAUGAAAGCGGGGGACCUUCGGGCCUCGCGCGAUCGGAGCGGCCGAUGUCAGAUUAGGUAGUUGGUGGGGUAAAGGCCUACCAAGCCGACGAUCUGUAGCUGGUCUGAGAGGACGACCAGCCACACUGGGACUGAGACACGGCCCAGACUCCUACGGGAGGCAGCAGUGGGGAAUUUUGGACAAUGGGCGCAAGCCUGAUCCAGCCAUUCCGCGUGCAGGACGAAGGCCUUCGGGUUGUAAACUGCUUUUGUAUGGAACGAAAAGGCUCUGGCUAAUACCUGGGGCUCAUGACGGUACCGUAAGAAUAAGCACCGGCUAACUACGUG